This 253-nucleotide ribosomal RNA is filed under the name uncultured bacterium. Its description in RNAcentral is "partial 16S ribosomal RNA". It matches the Rfam family "Bacterial small subunit ribosomal RNA", at positions 524 to 776 of the family's 1533-position model. RNAcentral also lists the same sequence under 1 other name. The record is from RNAcentral.
UACAGAGACUGCAAGCGUUAUUCGGAUUCACUGGGCGUAAAGGGUGCGCAGGCGGCCAAGUGUGUGAGGCGUGAAAGCCUGGGGCUUAACCCCAGAAUUGCACCUCAAACUACUUGGCUAGAGCAUUGGAGAGGGUAGCAGAAUUCAUGGUGUAGCAGUGAAAUGCGUAGAUAUCAUGAGGAAUACCAGAGGCGAAGGCGGCUACCUGGACAAUUGCUGACGCUCAGGCACGAAAGCGUGGGGAGCAAAAGGG